GAUGAACGCUGGCGGCGUGCCUAAUACAUGCAAGUCGAGCGAACAGACGAGGAGCUUGCUCCUCUGACGUUAGCGGCGGACGGGUGAGUAACACGUGGAUAACCUACCUAUAAGACUGGGAUAACUUCGGGAAACCGGAGCUAAUACCGGAUAAUAUAUUGAACCGCAUGGUUCAUUAGUGAAAGACGGUUUUGCUGUCACUUAUAGAUGGUUCCGCGCCGCAUUAGCUAGUUGGUAAGGUAACGGCUUACCAAGGCAACGAUGCGUAGCCGACCUGAGAGGGUGAUCGGCCACACUGGAACUGAGACACGGUCCAGACUCCUACGGGAGGCAGCAGUAGGGAAUCUUCCGCAAUGGGCGAAAGCCUGACGGAGCAACGCCGCGUGAGUGAUGAAGGUCUUCGGAUCGUAAAACUCUGUUAUUAGGGAAGAACAAAUGUGUAAGUAACUAUGCACGUCUUGACGGUACCUAAUCAGAAAGCCACGGCUAACUACGUG
This 497-nucleotide ribosomal RNA is filed under the name uncultured bacterium. Its description in RNAcentral is "partial 16S ribosomal RNA". It matches the Rfam family "Bacterial small subunit ribosomal RNA", at positions 28 to 507 of the family's 1533-position model. The record is from RNAcentral.